Molecule: ribosomal RNA, 762 nt
Filed under: uncultured fungus
Lineage: Eukaryota; Fungi
Description: eukaryotic LSU rRNA
Rfam family: Eukaryotic large subunit ribosomal RNA
Source: RNAcentral
GAACUUAAGCAUAUCAAUAAGCGGAGGAAAAGAAACCAACAGGGAUUGCCCCAGUAACGGCGAGUGAAGCGGCAACAGCUCAAAUUUGAAAUCUGGCCUCUCCGGGUCCGAGUUGUAAUUUGUAGAGGAUGCUUUUGGUGAGGUGCCGCCCGAGUUCCCUGGAACGGGACGCCGCAGAGGGUGAGAGCCCCGUCUGGCUGGCCACCGAGCCUCUGUAAAGCUCCUUCGACGAGUCGAGUAGUUUGGGAAUGCUGCUCAAAAUGGGAGGUAUAUGUCUUCUAAAGCUAAAUAUUGGCCAGAGACCGAUAGCGCACAAGUAGAGUGAUCGAAAGAUGAAAAGCACCUUGAAAAGAGGGUUAAACAGUACGUGAAAUUGUUGAAAGGGAAGCGCUUGUGACCAGACUUGGGCGCGGCGGAUCAUCCGGGGUUCUCCCCGGUGCACUUCGCCGCGUCCAGGCCAGCAUCAGUUCGUCGCGGGGGAAAAAGGCUUCGGGAACGUGGCUCCUCCGGGAGUGUUAUAGCCCGUUGCAUAAUACCCUGCGGUGGACUGAGGACCGCGCAUCUGCAAGGAUGCUGGCGUAAUGGUCACCAGCGACCCGUCUUGAAACACGGACCAAGGAGUCGUCUUCGUAUGCGAGUGUUCGGGUGUCAAACCCCUACGCGUAAUGAAAGUGAACGCAGGUGAGAGCUUCGGCGCAUCAUCGACCGAUCCUGAUGUUCUCGGAUGGAUUUGAGUAAGAGCAUACGGGGCCGGACCCGAAA